Molecule: ribosomal RNA, 492 nt
Filed under: uncultured bacterium
Lineage: Bacteria
Description: partial 16S ribosomal RNA
Rfam family: Bacterial small subunit ribosomal RNA
Source: RNAcentral
AGCGAACGCUGGCGGCAGGCCUAACACAUGCAAGUCGAACGGCACCACAGUAAGAGCUUGCUCUUACGGGUGGCGAGUGGCGGACGGGUGAGUAAUACAUCGGAACCUACUUUUUCGUGGGGGAUAACGUAGGGAAACUUACGCUAAUACCGCAUAUGACCUACGGGUGAAAGCAGGGGAUCUUCGGACCUUGCGCGAUUGAAUGAGCCGAUGUCGGAUUAGCUAGUUGGCGGGGUAAAGGCCCACCAAGGCGACGAUCCGUAGCUGGUCUGAGAGGAUGAUCAGCCACACUGGCUCUGAGAAACAGUCCAGACUCCUGCGGGAGGCAGCAGUGGAGAAUAUUGGAGAAUGGGGGCGAGCCUGAUCCAGCCAUACCGCGUGGGUGAAGAAGGCCUUCGGGUUGUAGAGCCCUUUUGUUGGGAGAGAAAUGCAGCAGGUUAAUACCCCGCUGUUCUGACGGUACCCGAAGAAUAAGCACCGGCUAACUUCGUG